AGAAUCAACGCUGGCGGCGUGCCUAACACAUGCAAGUCGAACGAGAAAGUGGAGCAAUCCAUGAGUAAAGUGGCGACCGGGUGAGUAACACGUGACUAACCUACCUUCGAGUGGGGGAUAACAUCGGGAAACCGAUGCUAAUACCGCAUAACAUCGCAAGAUCAAAGCAGCAAUGCGCUGGAAGAGGGGGUCGCGGCUGAUUAGCUAGUUGGCGGGGUAACGCCCACCAAGGCGAAGAUCGGUAGCCGGCCUGAGAGGGCGCACGGCCACACUGGAACUGAAACACGGUCCAGACUCCUACGGAGGCAGCAGUGGGGAAUUUUGCGCAAUGGGGGAAACCCUGACGCAGCAACGCCGCGUGGAGGAUGAAGCCCUUGGGGUGUAAACUCCUUUCGACCAAGACGAUAAUGACGGUACUGGUGGAAGAAGCACCGGCUAACUCUGUGCCAGCAGCCGC
This 457-nucleotide ribosomal RNA is filed under the name uncultured bacterium. RNAcentral's name for it is "SSU rRNA". It matches the Rfam family "Bacterial small subunit ribosomal RNA", at positions 26 to 518 of the family's 1533-position model. The record is from RNAcentral.